RNAcentral lists this transfer RNA (76 nucleotides) under bacterium BMS3Bbin07. Its description in RNAcentral is "tRNA-His". It matches the Rfam family "tRNA". From Rfam's summary of the family: Transfer RNA (tRNA) molecules are approximately 80 nucleotides in length. Their secondary structure includes four short double-helical elements and three loops (D, anti-codon, and T loops). The record is from RNAcentral. RNAcentral also lists the same sequence under 2 other names.
GUGAGCGUAGCUCAAUGGUUAGAGCACUGGACUGUGGCUCCAGCGGUUGUGGGUUCGAGUCCCAUCGUUCACCCCA